CGGGGGGCAGCAGUAGGGAAUAUUGGGCAAUGGAGGCAACUCUGACCCAGCCAUCCCGCGUGCAGGAUGAAGGCCCUCUGGGUCGUAAACUGCUUUUGUCUGGGAAGAAAAAGCUAUAUUUAUAUAGAACUGACGGUACCAGACGAAUAAGCACCGGCUAACUCCGUGCCAGCAGCCGCGGUAAUACGGAGGGUGCAAGCGUUAUCCGGAUUCACUGGGUUUAAAGGGUGCGUAGGCGGCUAUUUAAGUCAGUGGUGAAAGCUCGCAGCUUAACUGUGAAACUGCCAUUGAAACUGAGUAGCUUGAGUACGAUUGAUGUGGGCGGAAUAUAUCAUGUAGCGGUGAAAUGCUUAGAUAUGAUAUAGAACACCGAUUGCGAAGGCAGCUCACAAAAUCGCAACUGACGCUGAGGCACGAAAGCGUGGGGAGCAAACAGGAUUAGAUACCCGGGU
RNAcentral lists this ribosomal RNA (452 nucleotides) under uncultured prokaryote. RNAcentral describes it as "bacterial SSU rRNA". It matches the Rfam family "Bacterial small subunit ribosomal RNA", at positions 342 to 791 of the family's 1533-position model. The record is from RNAcentral.